Ictidomys tridecemlineatus (thirteen-lined ground squirrel) is the source of this 3489-nucleotide non-coding RNA. The record is from RefSeq and is a predicted model, not a curated record. NCBI's taxonomy places the organism in Eukaryota, Metazoa, Chordata, Mammalia, Rodentia, Sciuridae.
GACUCGGGGACCGGGGAGGUGGUGGGCGAGGCCUUUCGCGAUGUUGCUAGGCAACCUGCACACCGGAAAGCUCCAAAGAUGCUCAAGAAACUGGACUCUUGACCUUACUUUGUCAAACAUUUUCUUUUGCCUUUUCAGUAUCCCAGUCCUACUUUUAAACAUGGAGUGAAAAUAUACUUCAAACUGAAACAUGAUGCCGCCAAAUGGCAUGGUGCAUCUAUUGUCUGCUCUUACCUUUCCUGCUGUGCUCUCUUGUGUGAAGUCAGCAUCACCCCAAGUCCUGAGCACUAUGUUCAUGAGCUUCACUCCAUGCUGUCAGACUCAAGUAACACUCUGGCUCAAAAUCAGGAGAAAAAUCAACCCCAGCAGCUCAAAUCAGACCUCACUUGAACCACUUGAAACUCUACAGUUUAAGUCAUUACCAGUGGAAGAAGAGUUCCCAUCCCCAGGGAAUUGUCUCCAUAAGUAUCAACCAGGAAUCACCAUCUCAGAUGCUCAGAAGAAUCAUUGUAACAGAAAAGAAUGAAAGGAUGAAGUAGAUAUGGUAUGUUUUGAAUAUUUAAUUAUGUUUUAUAGUAUUUGCAAUCAAAUAAAUUCUAUAAUACUGACAUCACCAGAAUUUAUACUAACCAGCUCUGACUUUAAAAACAAAAAUGUCUUUGCUAUUUGCUUAUAUCAUUCUUAUCAGAGUGAUCAAUAAGAAGCAAUGUUGUUGCUUAUUUUUUAGUAAAACAAGCUGCCAAAAGUCAACAUGGAAGCUUUCUUCUUCUCAAAUCAGAAUCAGAAACACCUUGUUUUGGAACAUUCACAUGGUAGAAGUGUUUAUUUGGCUUAUACAAGGCUUUUCUGUCUCCUAGAGAGUCAAACUUGGGGUAGAGUAAGGAGCUGAGUGUAUUCUGAGAGGGAAACAUCACAAUAUCCAGUGCCUUUCACCCUAUGUUUGCAAACUUAGAGAAACAGUGGGAAUGAACUGAUAGGGUCACCAGCAAAGUUUCUAGCAUGAAAAGACUCCAAAAAGGAAUGAAUUCACCACAGUAGUAGAGAACACCUGGCCUUGUGAUCUGGGUCUAACAUAAACCAUAUCAGGAGGGCUUGUCUUGACCCAGGCAUGAAACCAAAUUUGCAGCCUUCUGCAGCUCCAUCUGCCUGGCAUGUGGCAGUACUUUGGGAAAUGAUUCAACACAUAAGUGUGAAAUAAAUAAGCCAAAAUCUUGGAUCUCAGCAGGAUCCAAAAUAAUCUCUGCAUCACCUGAACUGGGCAAAUAUUAAGUUAUAGAGGAUUGAUGUUUAAAAUUAUUGUUGUGACAACAUGAUUAAGAAAUGCCAGUGGUUCUGAAGAAACAUUCCAGUCCUCUUGCUUCACUUUGCUAUUGGAAACAUAACUGGAAGCCCUCAAUGAAGAGCAAGUAAGUGCAUAUCAUGUCUGGACAACUCAAGGAAGAAAAGGGUUCAGGAAGUUUGAACUCUCUCAUUUAGGAAAAAAAAUGGCUGAUGAAUUGCAUAACUAAUGGACAAAUGAAAAAAGUGCAAUUAUAUUUACCUACUGGAUUGAUUAGUGAGUACCAAUGCACACACUUCUACCAUUAGUCAGGAUUUGAGGAAGCAUUCUCCUGAUGCUUUGUUGUUGUCUAUUUUAAAACUGGAUCUCUCAAUUAUAUUGAUGAAAUAGGAUAUACAAUCCUCCUGCAUAAAUUUAAAUGAAUCAAAUUUCUAUAUACUUAGUAUAUAACAUAUAAUUAAAGACAUCAUAGAGAUCAAAAGGGAAAUUGGACAUUAAUAAUCUUAAAGAUCAAUAUAGAUAAUUAUUCAAUACAUGGAAAAUGUUCUUACCAAGUUAGGAAGCAAAAGACUUUUAAAAAUAUGGAGGUACUGUGUUACUCAGCUUUCCCUCAUUAUAACAAUAUUAGAAACAAUUAACUUAUAAAGAGAAAAGGUUUAUUUUGGCUCAAAGUUUGGGAUGAUCAGUUAGGGCUAUUAUUUUGGGUCUGUCUAGGGUCAGCACAUUAUAGUGUGGAGUGUGGCAUGGGGUGGAGAUAGAGAGCAGAAGAGAAGAAGAGGAAGGGUCCACAGUCCUACUGACUCCCUUUGAGGGUACAACCCCCAAUGAUGUAAAGUUCUCCUCCAUGCCUCCAUUGGCUGGAGACCAAGCCUUUAAUGCACAGACCACAGGAGGACAUAGAUCCAAACCAUAAUAGGUAGCAUUUCCCACACAUCAAAUUGGCUGAGAUUUGUUAGGUAAGUUUUCAAGACAGAGAGAUAGGCUCGACAAACCUCUGCUAGUGAAUAAAUGAAUCAGUCCAACCUAUAGCGAAAGGAGGAAAAGUGAACAUACAACACAUAUUAUUAAGAAUUCUCAGUCUCUUAUCCUAGAAUUCCCAUAUUAGUAGAUUCACUAAUGAAAAUAAACACUUGUACAGAAAGUAUACAAAAAUUUAUUUGUUAAACCUGAAUGUAUGAUGGCAAAAAUUAACAAAUAAACAAAUAACUAAACAAAAAAUGAAACAAACAUAUAGCAAUGGAGAUUUUUUAACACAAGCGUUAUACAGCAUAACUUGCAUUAUGACAUCAUACUAAAAGAAGUUAGUUUCAGUUUAAUAAAUAAGCAUUAUUAUUUUAUGAAAAAUGAAAAGUGAAAAAGCUAUAUGGAGAGCAUUAAGCAAAAUCAUGCAAUAAAAAUAAUUAUUGGUAUUAAUUGAUAUUAUUCUUGCAGGUUAACCUCUUUCAUAAUCUAUAAAAUAAAACAGGAAAAUAGAUACUCAUAUCUGAAUAGCAUCUAAAUAUCUGGAUGAUAGAAUGAUGUACAAUAUUGUCUUUUCCAAUAUUUCAUAUUUUCUAAGUGUUUAUAUUUUUUAUAUUUUCUCCAUCAGAGAAAUGAAAGUAAACAAAAUUUACUGAAAAGAAAUAGAUUGCAACUGUGAAUUUAUAUCAGCGUUUGCCUUCAUAACAAUAAAAGCUGCCAGUUAUAUUGCUUGUGAUUAUCUAACAAAUCCUAGGUUUGAUAGUCAAAGCCAUUUCUUGAGGUUUCAAAACAGCAUCCAGACUGUUAAGUAAAUUGAACAGAAACUGACUGCUCUUCUUUGCCAAAAAAGUAAAAGUCUUGCAAGUAGCAACUUGUAAUGCUAAGUUACUCCUUGCAGUUAUCCUUUUGAAAUAACUCACCAAAUAAGUCCAGAGCUAUGCAUCUGGGGUUUAUGAUAAAUGAAAUGUCACCACUGGUUUUUGUAAGGGAUCCAUAUUGCAACAUGUUCCUUCUCAGAGUUGGUCCUGGGGCUCUUGUUCUGUAAUUGUAUACCAACCAGAUGAGUGUAUCCUGAACAGUGGGAGUGAACAUUUCCAGUUUUUGGCAGGCUCAUUGAUUUCUCAGCAAGAGAGAUAGUGCCUUCAGCAAUAGCCUUGGAGAAUCCAUGCUGGGAGGAAAGAAUAUUCACACUUCUCUAUAUCACCUCCUUGCUCCAUUCCUUGGAUUUUUUUCUUUCUUUUAGCUUUUUA